This is a long non-coding RNA of Rhagoletis zephyria (snowberry fruit fly), 110 nucleotides long. RefSeq lists it as uncharacterized. The record is from RefSeq and is a predicted model, not a curated record. Lineage: Eukaryota; Metazoa; Arthropoda; Insecta; Diptera; Tephritidae.
GCAUUAAAAAUAUGAAUUUAAAAAAAAAAUCAGGGACCAUAACGGUUAUGAUCUUUAUAAUAGAAAUAAUAAUUUAGCCGUUAAAAUUUUAAUUAUUUUUUUCUGGUCAA